GUUGGGUCCCCCAGAAAAGACGAUAAAGACCUUCAACCAAAAUGCCGAGAAGUGGAAGAUCUCCGGGUACUUGUGGAUCGACAGGCAGAGAUGAUCGAGAUACAGCGAUCCGAGAUACAGAUAUUAAAGAAGAAGGUUGAAGACGGAGAGCGGAAACAUGUAGAUUUUAGUUCAGAACUAAGUGAAAUACGGAAAAACUGGCUUCAGGCCCAAGGA
Molecule: long non-coding RNA, 216 nt
Organism: Eurytemora carolleeae
Lineage: Eukaryota; Metazoa; Arthropoda; Copepoda; Calanoida; Temoridae
Exons: 4
Source: RefSeq, a predicted model, not a curated record